CCUUCCCGGAGGGAGCACGGCUUGGGGACUGGGUGGAUUGUGUGUUUUUACGGUGCUGCGUGGAUGGCGCGUGUGGGCUGAGUGAAUGGACGCGCGAAUGCGUGAGUGUGCGCAUGAGGCGUGCAAGACGAGUGUGAGCGCCCUUCCCUGAGCCCCUCCCCCCGCCUACACCUUGAUCUUAUUUGAUCGGGUUGAGACCGUAGCCCCGCCGGGCCAACCCGAGAUGAAAAGCUCUCCUCCUGCGAAGCCCCGUCCUCGGGGCUGUGUGCAGCGAGGCCCCUUGGGCGGCGGCAACGCCGCGGUCCCGGAGCUGGUCUUAACGGGGCCCGGCGCUCAGAAGUGAUGAAUUGAUCAGAUAGACGAGGCCGGGCUUGUCUCGGGCCGCUGAUUAUCGAGGCGAUUCUGAUCUGA
Molecule: small nucleolar RNA, 411 nt
Organism: Mustela putorius furo (domestic ferret)
Lineage: Eukaryota; Metazoa; Chordata; Mammalia; Carnivora; Mustelidae
Product: small Cajal body-specific RNA 2
Source: Ensembl